This 399-nucleotide ribosomal RNA is filed under the name Salmonella enterica subsp. enterica serovar Infantis. RNAcentral describes it as "bacterial SSU rRNA". It matches the Rfam family "Bacterial small subunit ribosomal RNA", at positions 1145 to 1533 of the family's 1533-position model. Lineage: Bacteria; Pseudomonadati; Pseudomonadota; Gammaproteobacteria; Enterobacterales; Enterobacteriaceae. The record is from RNAcentral. RNAcentral also lists the same sequence under 2 other names.
GAGACUGCCAGUGAUAAACUGGAGGAAGGUGGGGAUGACGUCAAGUCAUCAUGGCCCUUACGACCAGGGCUACACACGUGCUACAAUGGCGCAUACAAAGAGAAGCGACCUCGCGAGAGCAAGCGGACCUCAUAAAGUGCGUCGUAGUCCGGAUUGGAGUCUGCAACUCGACUCCAUGAAGUCGGAAUCGCUAGUAAUCGUGGAUCAGAAUGCCACGGUGAAUACGUUCCCGGGCCUUGUACACACCGCCCGUCACACCAUGGGAGUGGGUUGCAAAAGAAGUAGGUAGCUUAACCUUCGGGAGGGCGCUUACCACUUUGUGAUUCAUGACUGGGGUGAAGUCGUAACAAGGUAACCGUAGGGGAACCUGCGGUUGGAUCACCUCCUUACCUUAAAGAA